CGGACGGCAGCACAGAGAAGCUUGCUUCUUGGGUGGCGAGUGGCGAACGGGUGAGUAACAUAUCGGAACGUACCGAGUAAAGGGGGAUAACUAAUCGAAAGAUUAGCUAAUACCGCAUAUUCUCUGAGGAGGAAAGCAGGGGACCUUCGGGCCUUGCGUUAUUCGAGCGGCCGAUAUCUGAUUAGCUAGUUGGUGGGGUAAAGGCCUACCAAGGCGACGAUCAGUAGCGGGUCUGAGAGGAUGAUCCGCCACACUGGGACUGAGACACGGCCCAGACUCCUACGGGAGGCAGCAGUGGGGAAUUUUGGACAAUGGGCGCAAGCUGAUCCAGCCAUGCCGCGUGUCUGAAGAAGGCCUUCGGGUUGUAAAGGACUUUUGUCAGGGAAGAAAAGGCUGUCGCUAAUACCGACAGUUGAUGACGGUACCUGAAGAAUAAGCACCGGCUAACUACGUGCCAGCAGCCGCGGUAAUACGUAGGGUGCGAGCGUUAAUCGGAAUUACUGGGCGUAAAGCGAGCGCAGACGGUUACUUAAGCAGGAUGUGAAAUCCCCGGGCUCAACCUGGGAACUGCGUUCUGAACUGGGUGACUAGAGUGUGUCAGAGGGAGGUAGAAUUCCACGUGUAGCAGUGAAAUGCGUAGAGAUGUGGAGGAACACCGAUGGCGAAGGCAGCCUCCUGGGAUANAACUGACGUUCAUGCUCGAAAGCGUGGGUAGCAAACAGGAUUAGAUACCCUGGUAGUCCACGCCCUAAACGAUGUCAAUUAGCUGUUGGGCAACUUGAUUGUUCAGUAGCGUAGUAACG
This 803-nucleotide ribosomal RNA is filed under the name uncultured Neisseria sp. Its description in RNAcentral is "bacterial SSU rRNA". It matches the Rfam family "Bacterial small subunit ribosomal RNA", at positions 63 to 857 of the family's 1533-position model. Lineage: Bacteria; Pseudomonadati; Pseudomonadota; Betaproteobacteria; Neisseriales; Neisseriaceae. The record is from RNAcentral.